Molecule: transfer RNA, 62 nt
Filed under: Podarcis lilfordi (Lilford's wall lizard)
Lineage: Eukaryota; Metazoa; Chordata; Lepidosauria; Squamata; Lacertidae
Description: tRNA.Lys
Rfam family: tRNA
About the family: Transfer RNA (tRNA) molecules are approximately 80 nucleotides in length. Their secondary structure includes four short double-helical elements and three loops (D, anti-codon, and T loops).
Source: RNAcentral
AAGCUCAGUUGGUAGAAUAUGAGACUCUUAAUCUCAGGGUUGUGGGUUCAAGCCCCACUAUA